This 499-nucleotide ribosomal RNA is filed under the name uncultured Glomeromycotina. RNAcentral's name for it is "partial small subunit ribosomal RNA". It matches the Rfam family "Eukaryotic small subunit ribosomal RNA", at positions 591 to 1092 of the family's 1831-position model. Lineage: Eukaryota; Fungi; Glomeromycota. The record is from RNAcentral.
CCAAUAGCGUAUAUUAAAGUUGUUGCAGUUAAAAAGCUCGUAGUUGAAUUUCGGGAUCAAUAUGUCGGUCGUGCUUCGGUACGUACUGGCGUUAUUGGUUUCUCCCUUCUGAAGAACCGCGAUGUCAUUAAUUUGGUGUCGUGGGGAAUCAGGACUGUUACUUUGAAAAAAUUAGAGUGUUUAAAGCAGGCUCGCGCUUGAAUACAUUAGCAUGGAAUAAUGAAAUAGGACGUCUGAUUCUAUUUUGUUGGUUUUUAGGAUCGACGUAAUGAUUAAUAGGGAUAGUUGGGGGCAUUAGUAUUCAAUUGUCAGAGGUGAAAUUCUUGGAUUUAUUGAAGACUAACUACUGCGAAAGCAUUUGCCAAGGAUGUUUUCAUUAAUCAAGAACGAAAGUUAGGGGAUCGAAGACGAUCAGAUACCGUCGUAGUCUUAACCAUAAACUAUGCCGACUAGGGAUCGGAUGAUGUUAAUUUUUUAAUGACUCAUUCGGCGCCUUACG